Algibacter lectus is the source of this 112-nucleotide small RNA. It matches the Rfam family "Flavo-1 RNA". Lineage: Bacteria; Pseudomonadati; Bacteroidota; Flavobacteriia; Flavobacteriales; Flavobacteriaceae. The record is from Rfam.
AUUAAGCCGUUAACUGCGUUAAGGAUUGAUGCGGCAUCCUUUUUGUUUUUAUUUGAAAUGCAAAGCAAUUUUAAGUAAAAAUAAAAAGAUACAGCGGAAAGCCUGGCGGCAA